RNAcentral lists this ribosomal RNA (497 nucleotides) under uncultured bacterium. RNAcentral describes it as "partial 16S ribosomal RNA". It matches the Rfam family "Bacterial small subunit ribosomal RNA", at positions 28 to 507 of the family's 1533-position model. The record is from RNAcentral.
GAUGAACGCUGGCGGCGUGCCUAAUACAUGCAAGUCGAGCGAACGGACGAUAAUCUUGCUUCUCUGAUGUUAGCGGCUGACGUGUGAGUAACACGUGUAUACCCUACCUUUCAUUCUGGGAUAACUUCGGGAAACCGGAGCUUAUUCCGGAUAAUCUUUUUAACCGCAUGGUUCAAAAGUGAAAGUCGGUCUUGCUGUCACUUAUAGAUGGAUCCGCGCUGCAUUAGCUAGUUGUUAAGGUAACGGCUUACCAAGGCAACGAUGCAUAGCCGACCUGAGAGGGUGAUCGGCCACACUGGAACUGAGACACGGUCCAGACUCCUACGGGAGGCAGCAGAAGGGAAUAUUCCGCAAAGGGCGAAAGCAUGACGGAGCAACGACGCGUGAGUGAUGAAGGUCUUCGGAUCGUAAAACUCUGUUAUUAGGGAAGAACAAAUGUGUAAGUAAAAGUGAACAGCUUGACGGUAACAAAUAAGAAAGCAACGGCUAACUACGUG